UACGGAGGGUGCAAGCGUUGUCCGGAAUCACUGGGCGUAAAGCGUCUGUAGGUGGUUCGAAAAGUCCACUGUUAAAAAUUGAGGCUUAACUUCAAAGAUGCCGUGGAAACUUUCAAACUAGAGUAUGGUAGGGGUAGAGGGAAUUUCCAGUGGAGCGGUGAAAUGCGUAGAUAUUGGAAAGACCACCAAUGGCGAAGGCACUCUACUGGGCCAUUACUGACACUGAGAGACGAAAGCUAGGGGAGCAAAUGGG
This 253-nucleotide ribosomal RNA is filed under the name uncultured bacterium. RNAcentral's name for it is "partial 16S ribosomal RNA". It matches the Rfam family "Bacterial small subunit ribosomal RNA", at positions 524 to 776 of the family's 1533-position model. The record is from RNAcentral.